UAGUUGCAAGGUAUAGACCCGAAACCCGGUGAUCUAGCCAUGGGCAGGUUGAAGGUUGGGUAACACUAACUGGAGGACCGAACCGACUAAUGUUGAAAAAUUAGCGGAUGACUUGUGGCUGGGGGUGAAAGGCCAAUCAAACCGGGAGAUAGCUGGUUCUCCCCGAAAGCUAUUUAGGUAGCGCCUCGUGAACUCAUCUUCGGGGGUAGAGCACUGUUUCGGCUAGGGGGCCAUCCCGGCUUACCAAACCGAUGCAAACUCCGAAUACCGAAGAAUGUUAUCACGGGAGACACACGGCGGGUGCUAACGUCCGUCGUGAAGAGGGAAACAACCCAGACCGCCAGCUAAGGUCCCAAAGUCAUGGUUAAGUGGGAAACGAUGUGGGAAGGCAUAGACAGCCAGGAUGUUGGCUUAGAAGCAGCCAUCAUUUAAAGAAAGCGUAAUAGCUCACUGGUCGAGUCGGCCUGCGCGGAAGAUGUAACGGGGCUAAACCAUGCACCGAAGCUGCGGCAGCGACGCUUAGCGUUGUUGGGUAGGGGAGCGUUCUGUAAGCCGUUGAAGGUGGCCUGUGAGGGUUGCUGGAGGUAUCAGAAGUGCGAAUGCUGACAUAAGUAACGAUAAAGCGGGUGAAAAGCCCGCUCGCCGGAAGACCAAGGGUUCCUGUCCAACGUUAAUCGGGGCAGGGUGAGUCGACCCCUAAGGCGAGGCUGAAAAGCGUAGUCGAUGGGAAACAGGUUAAUAUUCCUGUACUUGGUGUUACUGCGAAGGGGGGACGGAGAAGGCUAGGCUAGCCGGGCGACGGUUGUCCCGGUUUAAGCGUGUAGGGGGUGUGACCUGGUAAAUCCGGUUGCAUACUAACCCUGAGGCGUGAUGACGAUGCACUACGGUGCAGAAGUAGUUGAUGCCCUGCUUCCAGGAAAAUCCUCUAAGCUCCAGGUAACAUUAAAUCGUACCCCAAACCGACACAGGUGGUCAGGUAGAGAAUACCAAGGCGCUUGAGAGAACUCGGGUGAAGGAACUAGGCAAAAUGGUGCCGUAACUUCGGGAGAAGGCACGCUGGCAUGUAGGUGAAGUCCCUCGCGGAUGGAGCUGAAGCCAGUCGAAGAUACCAGCUGGCUGCAACUGUUUAAUAAAAACACAGCACUGUGCAAACACGAAAGUGGACGUAUACGGUGUGACGCCUGCCCGGUGCUGGAAGGUUAAUUGAUGGGGUCAGCCGCAAGGCGAAGCUCUUGAUCGAAGCCCCAGUAAACGGCGGCCGUAACUAUAACGGUCCUAAGGUAGCGAAAUUCCUUGUCGGGUAAGUUCCGACCUGCACGAAUGGCGUAAUGAUGGCCAGGCUGUCUCCACCCGAGACUCAGUGAAAUUGAACUCGCUGUGAAGAUGCAGUGUACCCGCGGCAAGACGGAAAGACCCCGUGAACCUUUACUAUAGCUUGACACUGAACAUUGAGCCUUGAUGUGUAGGAUAGGUGGGAGGCUUUGAAGCGUGGACGCCAGUCUGCGUGGAGCCAUCCUUGAAAUACCACCCUUUAAUGUUUGAUGUUCUAACUCGGCCCCGUGAUCCGGGGUGAGGACAGUGUCUGGUGGGUAGUUUGACUGGGGCGGUCUCCUCCCAAAGAGUAACGGAGGAGCACGAAGGUUAGCUAAUCACGGUCGGACAUCGUGAGGUUAGUGCAAAGGCAUAAGCUAGCUUGACUGCGAGAGUGACGGCUCGAGCAGGUACGAAAGUAGGUCUUAGUGAUCCGGUGGUUCUGAAUGGAAGGGCCAUCGCUCAACGGAUAAAAGGUACUCCGGGGAUAACAGGCUGAUACCGCCCAAGAGUUCAUAUCGACGGCGGUGUUUGGCACCUCGAUGUCGGCUCAUCACAUCCUGGGGCUGAAGUAGGUCCCAAGGGUAUGGCUGUUCGCCAUUUAAAGUGGUACGCGAGCUGGGUUUAGAACGUCGUGAGACAGUUCGGUCCCUAUCUGCCGUGGGCGUUGGAAGAUUGAGAGGGGUUGCUCCUAGUACGAGAGGACCGGAGUGAACGCACCACUGGUGUUCGGGUUGUCAUGCCAAUGGCAUUGCCCGGUAGCUAAGUGCGGAAAAGAUAAGCGCUGAAAGCAUCUAAGCGCGAAACUUGCCUCAAGAUGAGUCUUCCCUGGGCCUUUAAGGCCCCUGAAGGAACGUUUAAGACUAAGACGUUGAUAGGCUGGGUGUGUAAGUGCAGCGAUGCAUUGAGCUAACCAGUACUAAUGAUCCGUGAGGCUUAACCUUACAACACCGAAGGUGUUU
RNAcentral lists this ribosomal RNA (2273 nucleotides) under Serratia marcescens. Its description in RNAcentral is "partial 23S ribosomal RNA". It matches the Rfam family "Bacterial large subunit ribosomal RNA", at positions 697 to 2925 of the family's 2925-position model. Lineage: Bacteria; Pseudomonadati; Pseudomonadota; Gammaproteobacteria; Enterobacterales; Yersiniaceae. The record is from RNAcentral.